AUUGUCUAAGUUGGUUAAUCUUCUUGGCAAAGAGUAUUCUUACUCAAAUAUAAAAAGCUCCAAAUUGGAACUUCCUAUUCUUCAGCUUUGACGACUUCUCCAUCCAAGAGUAUAUCUAUUUUAGGGUUACCUACUUUAACGGAACCCCUUUUCAAUAUUCAUAUAAAUAAGCCAAGGAAUCUAUGCUCAAUUCACCAUCUCUCAACAAACAAAAAAGUAAAGAAUAAAAAACAAGAAGGAAAAUAAAUGGCACGCUUGGCAUGUUGCUUGGUCUUGAUCUCUUUGUGCUUAUGCCUUUUCGUUGAGCCUGCUGUUGCAGCCAAGAAGGGACUUAACGCUAUUGCCCCAUCACAGUACAAUGUAGUUCCCCUAGCAAGUGCACCAUUUCCUAUUACUGUUCCAUCAGAAUAUGUUAUGGCCAAGCAGAUAUGCCAGGACUCGAAGCAACCCGAAAUGUGCCAAAAAGUUGUUGAUGGUGAUAAGAUUGAUCCAGUCACUGAGGCCAAGCUUACCAUUGAGAUAACCUCAUCCAUGGCUUUAAGGGCAAGUGCAUACAUGUCAAAGAUAUCAACCCGUAAGGAUAUUGCACGAGGUGCUUUGAAUGGUUGCAUGUUGAGUUAUCAGAAAGCUAUUAAUGCUUUGAACCUUUCUUACACCAACUUUCAAACCAACCCCAAGAAUGCUAUUGAGAGUCUUAGAACAGCUGAUUAUCAUGUUGGAUUCUGCACUGCUUCUUUGGGUCAGAAAAAUGAGAUUCCUCCUGUUUUGAAGGCCAAUAAAGCAAUGCAGGGUAUGAUCCAAGCAAUAAGAUCUGUUGCUAAGAAACAAAUAAACU
Molecule: long non-coding RNA, 835 nt
Filed under: Lupinus mutabilis
Lineage: Eukaryota; Viridiplantae; Streptophyta; Magnoliopsida; Fabales; Fabaceae
Description: partial ncRNA
Source: RNAcentral